RNAcentral lists this long non-coding RNA (461 nucleotides) under Homo sapiens (human). Its description in RNAcentral is "HSALNT0345865". The record is from RNAcentral. Lineage: Eukaryota; Metazoa; Chordata; Mammalia; Primates; Hominidae.
AGUCUGGGAGAAAUGCUUAUCUGUGACGGUGAGCUAAAGCCAUGAGAGAGGGCACAACACACCGAAUAUGUGAGCAGCUGCCGACUAAUGCCCACUGAUGACUGGAAGGUGCUUACUGAUGAUUGGGAAAGGCUUUGUGAAAUGAAAGUCCAUUAUUUCCAAAUUUGGAAAUGCCUUUAUAGGACAACUGUGAGGGCCAAAAGCUUCAAGCUCUUCAGGGAUCAGGAGAGAUGGAGUAGAUGUGACUUGGAAAGCAAUGGCCUAAAAGACAGAUUGCCAUUUCCUGGCUGGCUGCUGACCUGAUACUCACCCACGGUGUUGCGGACCUUAGACCAAACAGAUGCCACAGGACAGUGGGGACUAAGUGACAAGCAGCAACAUCCACUCCCUGCAGCCAGGGGGCCAUAGUGAGCCAGGGAAAGGCUGCCACGUGUGGAGUUUUCACGGCACCAGCGAAACCA